RNAcentral lists this small RNA (477 nucleotides) under Pan troglodytes (chimpanzee). Its description in RNAcentral is "processed transcript". Lineage: Eukaryota; Metazoa; Chordata; Mammalia; Primates; Hominidae. The record is from RNAcentral.
AAAACUGAGGAGGCGGAGCCAAGACGGUCGGGGCUGCUUGCUAACUCCAGGAACAGGUUUAAGUUUUUGAAACUGAAGUAGGUCUACACAGUAGGAACUCAUGUCAUUUCUUACCAAUGAUGCGAGCUCAGAGUCAAUAGCAUCCUUCUCUAAACAGGAGGUCAUGAGUAGCUUUCUGCCAGAGGGAGGGUGUUACGAGCUGCUCACUGUGAUAGGCAAAGGAUUUGAGGACCUGAUGACUGUGAAUCUAGCAAGGUACAAACCAACAGGAGAGUACGUGACUGUACGGAGGAUUAACCUAGAAGCUUGUUCCAAUGAGAUGGUAACAUUCUUGCAGAGACAGAGUUUCACCAUCUUGCCCAGGCUGGUCUCAAACUCCUGAGCUCGAGCAAUCAACUCACCUCAGCCUCCCAAAAUGCUAGGAUUACAGGGCGAGCUGCAUGUCUCCAAACUCUUCAACCAUCCCAAUAUCAUGCC